RNAcentral lists this long non-coding RNA (4394 nucleotides) under Equus caballus (horse). RNAcentral's name for it is "lncRNA (ENSECAG00000033478.2)". The record is from RNAcentral. Lineage: Eukaryota; Metazoa; Chordata; Mammalia; Perissodactyla; Equidae.
AGAUCCUGUGCCUGAAAGGGAAACACCAAGAUUUCCGGAGCCACGUUUCCUGAUAGACUGUAAAGAGCUGGCCUUGAAAGUGCAGCAUAAAGAGAAGCUGGAAGAGUGUUCUCAGCAGUCGCUGCUGAGAUGCUAGUCAGCACACUGUUUUAUGGAUUUCAAAUAAAUGUAGCAGUUGACAGAUUUCUGAAGGUAGGCAAUGGUUAAGUUUUGAUAGGAACUAGUUUAUAAGAUCAAAACAAAAAGGUUGAUUCUGUCUAAUGCAUGAAUGAAUAUAUGUAGUCUGAUCUCUUUCCAUUUAGGAAUAAUCUUUUAGGAAGUUUUUGUCUUUAUGCCACAUUUAAAUAACACGUAACCCUCCUUCCCAAAUGCAACUAUGCAAAAUGAGCAUGCAGUAAUAUACUAUUAAAGGAUGUUGUAAUCUAUUAAUUUUUUUUGUGAUGAGUAGAACAUAUUAAUAAUGUGUAUAAUUUAAAAGGAAAAUUCCAAAUACUAUAGACUUAUUGUCAGCAUCACUCAAUACACAGGUGGCAGAAUGAAGUAUCUGAUGACCUUCUCACACUUAUUUCCCUUCCCUUCUCACCCUUGAUGAGAUGAUGAUCUUUGGUAAGACACAGUAAACUGACAAAGACUGUUACCAUGAAAGCAUUAAAGAUUUUCUAUGAAUAUUUGUGAAAUAAAGGCUUAUUUUGCGGAUUUGUUACUCUGAAUAAUCUAAACACUGUAAACUCACUCCGAGGAAUAUUGUGAAAAGCUACGGGCCCUUUCUGAUAAAGCAGAAAAUGAAGAAAAGAGCAGAGGAGUUAGAAAAGACCUGGAGAAAUAUAAGAAUGAACCCCACUCUGCUAAAACAAAUGCCACAGAAGACACAUUUUUGAAACAAAUAAAUGGGGUAAAGAGAAUUUUUCAUAAUAUAAAAGUAAUUCUUGAUUAUACAGAAUUAAUAACAGAUUUCUAUUGAAUAAAGAAGUCCCCAGGUGCAUUCAAAAUGAUUACUUUUCUCAUCAUUUAAUUCUUGCAAUUUGCAGGUCCUAAGAUGAGCUAUCUGUAAAUAUAAGAGUUUAUUAAAUAGGAUAUACAAAUAAAAUUCUUUGGUAUAUAUGCUGGUUAAAAUUUUAUGAAAUGUUCCAAAUUCUAAAAUUCUAAUAUUUUCAUGUUUUUCUGUAACAGUGAUAUUCUAGAGUUCCCUAAAUUCUGAGUACCACAUAAAAUUGCAUUUGAUUAAAUCGGUUUUCCUUGAUGGAAGAGAACAUCAUUUAAACGUUUGUGAUUUCUGACCUAUGGUUGCUCUCUGCUAAAUGUGAUUCAAAGGUCAAGACCAACUUAAAGCCAUGGAACACAGCACAAAUUCAUUAUCCAUUUUAAUUCCUGUAGUGACACAGUUAAGAUCCCAUGAAUAUCUGUAUCUCUCACCCAGAACUGUGAAGGAAAUCCAUCUCUCUGAUGUUGCCAAACCAUUCAGGCCUCCAUCAAUGAGAUUGCAGAGGCCUUCAAGGUUCACAAUAUUCACCAAGACAUCUAUGGAAAUACGCUAUUGCUUUCCUACGAUGCAAAUACAGAUCACACAAGAAGGAAAAGUUCCAUGUAUUUCUCACCACUAAAUGAAGCCGUUAAUAUAUGUCUUAACUCCAUGAACUAUGCAGCUUCCAAAACAACCAAGAAAAGGAGCCAACAAGUAGGAUUCGUUAUGUAAGUUCAUGAACUUUCUCCACUGGAAGGGGUUUUGGAAUUAAUUCAGCAAAGCCCCUUGUUUUAGAAUUAAGGUAAGUGAAGAUCAGAAAAUUUAAGUGACUCAAGAUUGCACAGCUCGUUAGAGGCAGAGCCAGGACAAAAGCUCAGGACUCCUGACUUCAGUCUAACCCACUAUACCAAUAAUUAGUUGCUAAGACAAUUUUGUAUUCCUAAGAUGUCUUUAGGUAUUAAAAGUCAACUACAAGAAGUGUAUAUUUCCCUAGACCAUGCAUUCUCAACAAGGGCUAUAUCACCCCCAGAGGCAUGAACAUGGGUUCUUGCGGAUCAAAAAAAUCUUAUAUGAGGGACCAGCCCAGUGGUGCAGUGAUUAAGUUUGCAUGCUCCUCUUCGGCGGCCUGGGGUUCACGGGUUCAGAUCCCGGGCACGGACUGACACACCACUCAUCAAGCUAUGCUGUGGUGGUGACCCAUAUACAAAAUAAAGGAAGAUUGGCACAGAUGUUAGUUCAGCAACAAUCUUCCUCAAGCAAAAAUAGGAAGACUGGCAACAGAUGUUAGCUCAGGAUCAAUCUGCCUCACCAAAAAACAAAAAAAGCCCCUUAAAUGUUAGAUAUUACAAUUGUCACAAUUGUUUGUAGUCUUCCUAAGGGCCACAGUAUCUAAUCAGAUAUGCAACUUGUCUAUGGCAUCCAAGUUUCAGGGUGAGGGAGCUGUGAGGUGGGAGAAGGAAGGGUUAGGAAAAGAACGUCUAGAAAAGUUCUUUCGGGGCAACAACUGUUAAAAAGUUGAGAAAGACUGCCCUGGACCAAAGUCCACGGUCAGGAUCUUAGGGAACUUGCCAAAACGUUGGCUGAGUACAAGUGCUGGAGGCUCAAUUCGUUUUUAGAGUUAAACCAGUAAGCUGGGAUCCAGAAGCAUGCUUUGCUGUUCUCAUCCAGUUUUGGUGACCUAUUAUGAAGCAUAAAAAUCUGCUUUUUAUAGUGCCAAACUCAGCUCUUCGUCAUCGUAUAACUAGAGGAUAAAUAAGAUGGAAGUUACACUGCGUGCUCAAUAUUAUUAGCAAGCAUGGCUUGAUGGUAUGCAGGUCCGCACCUGGGAUCCAAACCUGUGAACCCUGGACCGCAGAAGCAGAGCUCGUGAACCUAACCACUAUGUCUCCAGGCUGACCCCAGGGUGUUCAGUAUUUUAUCUGGAAAGCCUACCUCCAACAGACAAGUGUUAAGUGGAACCCCCACGUCAAGACUGAAUUCUCAACAUGGCCUGACUGCUGUGAGUUCUCAUCCAGCAGUUUGGUUGAAAUGAUACAUGGAAUGUUGUAGAAGAGCUGAAAAAACGCACAAGACCAUGGAGCAUCCCAGAGAUCAGCAACAACAGAAAGUGCCACCACCACCAGGUGGUUCUGACGGAUCCAGGGCCAUUCACUGGGGCUAGACCCAUUCUGGGGUUGUCUUUGGGAGCUGGGCCCAUGAAAGGAAGAGUUUUCCAAUGGACCUGGAAUCACCGUGGAGGUAUAGCCCCUGAAGGAGACACCAUGGAACAGAAAGCGAGAACAUACCGGGUUCCCCCUUCUUUCUACCCUCUGGUUUCCAACAGUUGCCCCCUUUGGCAAGGAAGCCUUGUAAAUGCAGUUCCCAGAAAUGCAGAACAAAGUAGAAGGGCAGGGAACAAAGCUAGGAGCCAACAGAUAAAUAAAUAACUUGGACAAAAUUAAAGCAGCUUCAUUUCUUUAGCACUUCGUUUAGUAUGUUACUGAGCACUGUAAACUCUAUCCUACACAUAAAGACACAAUUUUUCCCAAGCUAAGUAAACUUUGAAAUCUUUGUCCAUAGGAGUAAGGAUCGAAGUGGCCAUUGGGGACAUCAAAGCAAAGCGUUUCUCAGAACAUUUCAAAAAUUGCUGUGAGAUGGCUACUCAGGCUCCUAAUGGCAUUUGUGUUUCAGGAAAUGUAACUGAAUGGGAAAAUGGUGGAUGCCCCAUUGCAUUCUGCACUUCGUCUGUGUCAGAAUCUUAUGCUAGGUGCUUCCGCGUGUUUCACUUCAUCUUCAGAGUGGCCUAAAAGAGGAAUUCAUAUCUCUUGUGGGGAUAUAAGCUUUGAUAUCUUUAUCUACCUCUGAAAACCCCAAAUGAUGUCCUCCCUGUAGGACGUCCUUUGCAUCUGCUGUUGAGAUAUAAAAUCCUAGGGGAAGGGACUGAUGAAGAUCUGUUCAAUGGAAAGGAGCAAGCAGUGGCCACUUUAAGACCCCUGGGUCCUAGAAGCCAACAGUGCUUCAGUCUACUUCAUCUAUGAGAACUACCUCAUUAUUUGCAUCCAGGAAUGUCUGUGGAGAAAAUCUGCUCAUAUCUUGGUUGAAAAUGGCCUCUCUGGAACCUCAUGAUUUCCAAGUCCAAUACUCGACAGACAUUGAAGGAAGUUUCAUAUGUCAGUUUCAAAUUUUAAGAUGAAGUUUAGUUGGUUGAGUGUUAUAACUCACCCUGGGGUGUGUGCAUGUGUGUGUUGGGGGGUGUCAUUUGGCCUAUUAUCUAAAUCACAGGGAAUCUGAGAAAAAAUUAUCUAAGAAGGAGUAGUGGGAUUUGAAUAAGGCAAAAAUGAGAACACUAUUACUCAAAAAGAAGCAGAAUCAAACAGAGAAGAAAGGUAGAUAAGCAUAAAAACACUUGGCCUGAAGUCUCAAGCUACAAUCUCCAAGGCCCUAUUUCCUGAAC